UUGACCUCGGAUCAGGUAGGGAUACCCGCUGAACUUAAGCAUAUCAAUAAGCGGAGGAAAAGAAACCAACAGGGAUUGCCUCAGUAACGGCGAGUGAAGCGGCAACAGCUCAAAUUUGAAAUCUGCCUCUAGGCCGAGUUGUAAUUUGUAGAAGGUGCUUCGGGUGUGGCACCGGUCUAAGUUCCUUGGAACAGGACGUCAUAGAGGGUGAGAAUCCCGUACGUGACUGGCUGCCUUCGCCCAUGUGAAGCUCUUUCGACGAGUCGAGUUGUUUGGGAAUGCAGCUCAAAAUGGGUGGUAUAAUUUCAUCUAAAGCUAAAUAUUGGCCAGAGACCGAUAGCGCACAAGUAGAGUGAUCGAAAGAUGAAAAGCACUUUGGAAAGAGAGUUAAACAGUACGUGAAAUUGUUGA
RNAcentral lists this ribosomal RNA (411 nucleotides) under uncultured Leotiomycetes. Its description in RNAcentral is "eukaryotic LSU rRNA". It matches the Rfam family "Eukaryotic large subunit ribosomal RNA", at positions 1 to 411 of the family's 3401-position model. The record is from RNAcentral. Lineage: Eukaryota; Fungi; Ascomycota; Leotiomycetes.